GGGCGAUUAGCUCAGCCGGUCAGAGCGCACGGUUCACAUCCGUGAGGUCACUGGUUCGAACCCAGUAUCGCCCACCA
RNAcentral lists this transfer RNA (77 nucleotides) under Chloroflexota bacterium. RNAcentral's name for it is "Chloroflexi bacterium tRNA-Val". It matches the Rfam family "tRNA". Rfam says of the family: Transfer RNA (tRNA) molecules are approximately 80 nucleotides in length. Lineage: Bacteria; Bacillati; Chloroflexota. The record is from RNAcentral. RNAcentral also lists the same sequence under 4 other names.